UCCAGACUCCUACGGGAGGCAGCAGUGAGGAAUAUUGGUCAAUGGGCGAGAGCCUGAACCAGCCAAGUCGCGUGAGGGAGUACUGCCCUAUGGGUUGUAAACCUCUUUUGUCGGGGAGCAAAAGCCGGACGUGUCCGGCUGUGAGAGUACCCGAAGAAAAAGCAUCGGCUAACUACGUGCCAGCAGCCGCGGUAAUACGUAGGGGGCAAGCGUUAUCCGGAUUUACUGGGUGUAAAGGGAGCGUAGACGGCCAGACAAGUCUGAAGUGAAAAUCCAGCGCUUAACGCUGGAAGUGCUUUGGAAACUGCCGGGCUGGAGUGCAGGAGGGGCAGGCGGAAUUCCUGGUGUAGCGGUGGAAUGCGUAGAUAUUAGGAGGAACACCAGUGGCGAAGGCGAUUUGCUGGACUGUAACCGACACUGAGGCACGAAAGCGUGGGGAGCAAGCAGGAUUAGAUACCCCCGUAC
RNAcentral lists this ribosomal RNA (465 nucleotides) under uncultured bacterium. Its description in RNAcentral is "partial 16S ribosomal RNA". It matches the Rfam family "Bacterial small subunit ribosomal RNA", at positions 330 to 793 of the family's 1533-position model. The record is from RNAcentral.